UACGUAGGGUGCAAGCGUUAAUCGGAAUUACUGGGCGUAAAGCGUGCGCAGGCGGUUUUGUAAGACUGUCGUGAAAUCCCCGGGCUUAACCUGGGAAUUGCGAUGGUGACUGCAAGGCUAGAGUUUGGCAGAGGGGGGUAGGAUUCCACGUGUAGCAGUGAAAUGCGUAGAGAUGUGGAGGAACACCGAUGGCGAAGGCAGCCCCCUGGGUCAAAACUGACGCUCAUGCACGAAAGCGUGGGGAGCAAACAGG
RNAcentral lists this ribosomal RNA (253 nucleotides) under uncultured bacterium. Its description in RNAcentral is "partial 16S ribosomal RNA". It matches the Rfam family "Bacterial small subunit ribosomal RNA", at positions 524 to 776 of the family's 1533-position model. The record is from RNAcentral.